CGAAGGGGGCUAGCGUUGUUCGGAAUUACUGGGCGUAAAGCGCGCGCAGGCGGUUUUUCAAGUCAGUGGUGAAAGCCCGGAGCUCAACUCCGGAACUGCCAUUGAAACUGUAAAACUUGAGGACGAGAGAGGUGAGUGGAAUUCCCAGUGUAGAGGUGAAAUUCGUAGAUAUUGGGAAGAACACCGGUGGCGAAGGCGGCUCACUGGCUCGUAUCUGACGCUCAGGCGCGACAGCGUGGGGAUCAAACAGGAUUAGAUACCCUGGUAGUCCACGCCGUAAACGAUGAAUGCUAGCCGUUGGGCAGCUUGCUGUUCAGUGGCGCAGCUAACGCAUUAAGCAUUCCGCCUGGGGAGUACGGCCGCAAGGUUG
RNAcentral lists this ribosomal RNA (370 nucleotides) under uncultured organism. Its description in RNAcentral is "bacterial SSU rRNA". It matches the Rfam family "Bacterial small subunit ribosomal RNA", at positions 526 to 896 of the family's 1533-position model. The record is from RNAcentral.